RNAcentral lists this long non-coding RNA (600 nucleotides) under Pandoravirus dulcis. RNAcentral's name for it is "putative ncRNA". The record is from RNAcentral.
CACGCGAUGGGCUCGGCCUCGUCGUCCUCGACGAGGCGCGUGAGUGCCCCGACGACUGAGGCCCGGCGGCGGCUGCCGACGCGCGCCACCAGCGCGAGGACCGUGUCGCCGUGCAGCCGCGAUGCCGCGCGGUAGAUCACCUUGGCGGCCAGCGUCAGGCGGCGCCCGGUCUCGGCGAGGACCUCGCAGACGCACUCGACGGCGGCCGCGUCGUCGAUGAUACGGUAGAGGGCCGACUUGAUGUGUCGGUCGUGCGCGUCGUCGAGCAGCAGCCGCAGCGAGUCGCGGUCGUUCAAAGCGGCGGUCCUGGCGAUAAAAUUGCGACGGCGCUCCGAGGCCUCAUCGUCGGGGCCUCGGCUGUCGCUAUUGUCUGCAGUCGCUUCAUAUGGCGCGUCCGACGGCGUGCAAUCCAAUUGUGCGGCGUCGGCGGGACGCGCCCUUUUGCAGACGCGGUGGAGGUCGUCUUCCGAGACGGGCACGAUGUCGAGGCGGCGCUUGAGCAUGAUGAUGUCCCUCUGGCUCUUUUCGGAUCACGGCUGGUUGCCCAGAAUAGAACAGCAGACAAAGAGCGGAGCAGGGGCGAAAGGAGACUCGACGGCG